GACGAACGCUGGCGGCGUGCUUAACACAUGCAAGUCGAACGGAAAGGCCCUGCUUUUGUGGGGUGCUCGAGUGGCGAACGGGUGAGUAACACGUGAGUAACCUGCCCUUGACUUUGGGAUAACUUCAGGAAACUGGGGCUAAUACCGGAUAGGAGCUCCUGCUGCAUGGUGGGGGUUGGAAAGUUUCGGCGGUUGGGGAUGGACUCGCGGCUUAUCAGCUUGUUGGUGGGGUAGUGGCUUACCAAGGCUUUGACGGGUAGCCGGCCUGAGAGGGUGACCGGCCACAUGGGGACUGAGAUACGGCCCAGACUCCUACGGGAGGAAGCAGGGGGGAAUAUUGCACAAGGGGCGGAAGCCGGAUGCAGCAAGGCCGCGUGCGGGAUGACGGCCUUCGGGUGGUAAACCGCUUUCGCCUGUGACGAAGCGUGAGUGACGGUAAUGGGUAAAGAAGCACCGGCUAACUACGUG
RNAcentral lists this ribosomal RNA (468 nucleotides) under uncultured bacterium. Its description in RNAcentral is "partial 16S ribosomal RNA". It matches the Rfam family "Bacterial small subunit ribosomal RNA", at positions 28 to 507 of the family's 1533-position model. The record is from RNAcentral.